UACGUAGGUGGCAAGCGUUGUCCGGAUUUAUUGGGUUUAAAGGGUGCGCAGGCGGUUGGGUGUGUCAGAUGUGAAAUCCCGAGGCUCAACCUCGGAACUGCGUCUGAAACUACUCGACUAGAGUACUGGAGAGGGUAACGGAAUUCACGGUGUAGCAGUGAAAUGCGUAGAUAUCGUGAGGAACACCAGAGGCGAAGGCGGUUACCUGGACAGUUACUGACGCUCAGGCACGAAAGCAUGGGGAGCAAAAGGG
This 253-nucleotide ribosomal RNA is filed under the name uncultured bacterium. Its description in RNAcentral is "partial 16S ribosomal RNA". It matches the Rfam family "Bacterial small subunit ribosomal RNA", at positions 524 to 776 of the family's 1533-position model. The record is from RNAcentral.